Molecule: ribosomal RNA, 470 nt
Filed under: uncultured bacterium
Lineage: Bacteria
Description: bacterial SSU rRNA
Rfam family: Bacterial small subunit ribosomal RNA
Source: RNAcentral
AUUGAACGCUGGCGGCAUGCCUUACACAUGCAAGUCGAACGGCAGCACGGGAGCUUGCUCCUGGUGGCGAGUGGCGAACGGGUGAGUAAUACAUCGGAACGUACCCUGAAGUGGGGGAUAACGUAGCGAAAGUUACGCUAAUACCGCAUAUUCUGUGAGCAGGAAAGAGGGGGAUCGCAAGACCUCUUGCUUUAGGAGCGGCCGAUGUCGGAUUAGCUAGUUGGUGAGGUAAAGGCUCACCAAGGCGACGAUCCGUAGCGGGUCUGAGAGGAUGAUCCGCCACACUGGGACUGAGACACGGCCCAGACUCCUACGGGAGGCAGCAGUGGGGAAUUUUGGACAAUGGGCGCAAGCCUGAUCCAGCCAUGCCGCGUGAGUGAAGAAGGCCUCGGUUGGUUAAGGUACGUACUUUCGUUCGGGGUAAGGGUAAAGUUAAGUGUUACGGUUAAGUUAACCUUACGGUAGUAAGG